UACGUAGGGUGCGAGCGUUAAUCGGAAUUACUGGGCGUAAAGGGUGCGCAGGCGGCCUCGCAAGUCGAGUGUGAAAGCCCCGGGCUUAACUUGGGAAUUGCGCUCGAAACUACGUGGCUGGAGUGUGGCAGAGGAAGGUGGAAUUCCACGUGUAGCGGUGAAAUGCGUAGAUAUCUGGAGGAAUACCGGUGGCGAAGGCGGCAUCCUGGACCGAGAUUGACACUGAGGAGCGAAAGCCAGGGGAGCAAACGGG
Molecule: ribosomal RNA, 253 nt
Filed under: uncultured bacterium
Lineage: Bacteria
Description: partial 16S ribosomal RNA
Rfam family: Bacterial small subunit ribosomal RNA
Source: RNAcentral